This 485-nucleotide long non-coding RNA is filed under the name Coffea arabica (coffee). RNAcentral's name for it is "long non-coding RNA (CARA_LNC000456)". Lineage: Eukaryota; Viridiplantae; Streptophyta; Magnoliopsida; Gentianales; Rubiaceae. The record is from RNAcentral.
UUUCUUUAAUGACCGACUGCAAGUAAGGGAGAUUUGAGAUAUCUGAUUCUUGAACCAGCUCGUUUUUUCCAAUAACUUUCCUGAUCUCGUCCCUAGCUUUUGAUUUUUUUUCAGGGUUGCGUAGUAACUCUGCCAUUGUCCACUCCACGAUGACUGAACUUGUGUCUAUCCCUCCAAGGAAUAAAUCCUAAAACACAGUGGAGUUGGAAUCAAAUUAUAGUCAUCAGGUGAUUUUCUUUUCUUUUUUUUUCCAUUUCAUAAUUUAGGAGUUAUAUAUUAGCACCUGUUAUAUAAAGUACGUAUUGAAUGGAUAGGUACAUUAAUAUUACUCACCAAAAUCAAAUGUUUCAUGUCCUUGUAGCUCCAUACAGAUUCAUUUUGCUGAUUAAGAUCAAGAAGGGUUUCCAAGAAAUCAUUUUUCCUUUGAUAAGUGUUGGAUGUGUAUCUUUCUUGUGAUCUCUGACGAAUGAUACCAUCCAUAAUAU